This is a non-coding RNA of Russula brevipes, 81 nucleotides long. Lineage: Eukaryota; Fungi; Basidiomycota; Agaricomycetes; Russulales; Russulaceae. The record is from the annotation of a GenBank genome assembly.
GCCUAGGUGGCUCGAGUGGUAGAGCACCUAGUAUAUAAUAUGCAGAAGCAGAAGCACUGGGUUCAAUUCCCAGUCUGGUCA